This 234-nucleotide unclassified non-coding RNA is filed under the name Coleosporium tussilaginis. RNAcentral describes it as "partial internal transcribed spacer 2". Lineage: Eukaryota; Fungi; Basidiomycota; Pucciniomycetes; Pucciniales; Coleosporiaceae. The record is from RNAcentral.
AAACCUCUCAUUCCAAUUCUUUAUUUCAUUAUAUUGAGUUGUGAUAUGGAUGUUGAGUGCUGCCGUAAUUUGGCUCACUUUAAAUUUAUAAGUACUUUUAUUGAAGAAAUAAAUGGAUAUUUACUCAGUGUAAUAUUUACUAUUCAUUGAGGAGUGUAGUCAUUUUUCUAUGACGACAGCCAUUUGCACAUUCAAUAAAUAGCUUCCUAACCCUAUCUAUAUAUAUAUCAAAUU